AGUGAACGCUGGCGGUAGGCCUAACACAUGCAAGUCGAACGGCAGCACAGUAAGAGCUUGCUCUUACGGGUGGCGAGUGGCGGACGGGUGAGGAAUACAUCGGAAUCUACUUUUUCGUGGGGGAUAACGUAGGGAAACUUACGCUAAUACCGCAUACGACCUACGGGUGAAAGCAGGGGAUCUUCGGACCUUGCGCGAUUGAAUGAGCCGAUGUCGGAUUAGCUAGUUGGCGGGGUAAAGGCCCACCAAGGCGACGAUCCGUAGCUGGUCUGAGAGGAUGAUCAGCCACACUGGAACUGAGACACGGUCCAGACUCCUAAGGGAGGCAGCAGUGGGGAAUAGUGGACAAUGGGCGCAAGCCUGAUCCAGCCAUACCGCGUGGGUGAAGAAGGCCUUCGGGUUGUAAAGCCCUUUUGUUGGGAAAGAAAAGCAGCAGGUUAAUACCCCGCUGUUCUGACGGUACCCAAAGAAUAAGCACCGGCUAACUUCGUG
Molecule: ribosomal RNA, 492 nt
Filed under: uncultured bacterium
Lineage: Bacteria
Description: partial 16S ribosomal RNA
Rfam family: Bacterial small subunit ribosomal RNA
Source: RNAcentral